This 253-nucleotide ribosomal RNA is filed under the name uncultured bacterium. RNAcentral describes it as "partial 16S ribosomal RNA". It matches the Rfam family "Bacterial small subunit ribosomal RNA", at positions 524 to 776 of the family's 1533-position model. The record is from RNAcentral.
UACGUAGGGUGCGAGCGUUGUCCGGAAUUAUUGGGCGUAAAGGGCUCGUAGGCGGUUUGUCGCGUCGGGCGUGAAAACACUGGGCUUAACUCAGUGCUUGCUUCCGAUACGGGCAGACUAGAGGUAUGCAGGGGAGAACGGAAUUCCUGGUGUAGCGGUGAAAUGCGCAGAUAUCAGGAGGAACACCGGUGGCGAAGGCGGUUCUCUGGGCAUUACCUGACGCUGAGGAGCGAAAGUGUGGGGAGCGAACAGG